CCUACGGGUGGCAGCAGUGAGGAAUAUUGGUCAAUGGCCGUAAGGCUGAACCAGCCAAGCCGCGUGAAGGAUGACUGCCCUAUGGGUUGUAAACUUCUUUUAUAAAGGAAUAAAGUGAGGCACGUGUGCCUGUUUGUAUGUACUUUAUGAAUAAGGAUCGGCUAACUCCGUGCCAGCAGCCGCGGUAAUACGGAGGAUCCGAGCGUUAUCCGGAUUUGUUGGGUUUAAAGGGAGCGUAGGUGGGUUGUUAAGUCAGUUGUGAAAGUCUGCGGCUCAACCGUAAAAUUGCAAUUGAUACUGGCAGUCUUGAGUACAGUUGAGGUAGGCGGAAUGCGUGGUGUAGCGGUGAAAUGCUUAGAUAUCACGAAGAACUCCGAUUGCGAAGGCAGCUUACUAAACUGCCACUGACAUUGAUGCUCGAAAGUGUGGGUAUCAAACAGGAUUAGAUACCCCAGUAGUC
This 460-nucleotide ribosomal RNA is filed under the name uncultured bacterium. Its description in RNAcentral is "partial 16S ribosomal RNA". It matches the Rfam family "Bacterial small subunit ribosomal RNA", at positions 338 to 795 of the family's 1533-position model. The record is from RNAcentral.